Non-coding RNA from Camelina sativa (false flax), 541 nucleotides. The record is from RefSeq and is a predicted model, not a curated record. NCBI's taxonomy places the organism in Eukaryota, Viridiplantae, Streptophyta, Magnoliopsida, Brassicales, Brassicaceae.
AUCUUCAAAAUCUCACUCACUCGUCUUUUUUUUUGUUUGGGGUACAGAAUCCAACUCUUGAGCAUUACACAACGUACAAAGCGUCCGAUCUAAAAGAAUCAGUGCACGCCUUGCAAGAUCUACAGCUUAACACCAAAGGAUGCCCCUUAAACUCUAUACGCAUGAAGUAUAGACAAGACAAGUACAAAUCGGUGGCGGUAUUCAGUUCUGCGAAGCUACCUGAGAAGCUAUUCAUCUCCUAACACAAGAGAUAACUGUAACAACAAACAACAUUUGUGAUCGUCCGGAUCAUUCAUCAUCAUUCUGUUAAAUAAAAAAGCAGUGUUCUUUCUUUCCACGGUCUAAUCAUACCAAGUAACCGGACUACCUACUAGUUAGAGUUCGGUUAUAUUCCGGUUUAGUUUAGACUUGUUUUGGUUCUUCCAAACCUGAUUUGUACUGAUCGGUAAAACGAGUUUUUUUUUUUUUUUUUAAUUGUAAGUGGGAUCGAUCGAUGUACAUUUCUUUUUCCUAUAUCAGACAGUAAUUUUCUGGUCGUAUA